GAUGAACGCUAGCGGCAGGCUUAACACAUGCAAGUCGAGGGGCAGCGCGAUGUAGCAAUACAUUGGCGGCGACCGGCGCACGGGUGCGUAACACGUAUGGAACUUACCCUUUACUGGGAGAUAGCCCGGAGAAAUCCGGAUUAAUAUCCCAUAAUAAACGAAGUGGCAUCACUUUGUUUGAAAGCUCCGGCGGUAAAGGAUGGCCAUGCGCACGAUUAGCUAGUAGGUGAGGUAACGGCUCACCUAGGCUACGAUCGUUAGGGGGCCUGAGAGGGUUAUCCCCCACACUGGUACUGAGACACGGACCAGACUCCUACGGGAGGCAGCAGUGAGGAAUAUUGCGCAAUGGAGGCAACUCUGACGCAGCCAUGCCGCGUGCAGGAAGAAGGCGCUACGCGUUGUAAACUGCUUUUAACCGGGAAGAAACCCUCCGACGUGUCGGAGGUUGACGGUACCGAGGAAUAAGCACCGGCUAACUUCGUGCCAGCAGCCGCGGUAA
This 499-nucleotide ribosomal RNA is filed under the name uncultured bacterium. Its description in RNAcentral is "bacterial SSU rRNA". It matches the Rfam family "Bacterial small subunit ribosomal RNA", at positions 28 to 523 of the family's 1533-position model. The record is from RNAcentral.